GGACCUCAGGCUGAGGUACAAGAUGCCCCAAUAAGGAAAAGGGUCUAAUAAUCCUCUCCCUCCAGAUCCAAGGACGGCCAACGAAGAUGGCGAUGCUGGUUUGUCAACUUUCUGAGAGCCUGAAGCUUGAGCCAAGAAAAGCUUGAAAUUGAGGGGAAGCAGAUGCAGACUAAAGAGGUAGUUCCUGCAGCUAGAAGAAGCAGAAUUGGAAAUUCAACCCUGCUUCUUAGGCCUGGCGCUGUAUCUGAGUGUUUUGCUAGACUGAAAUGAGAAGGUUCUAUCAAGUACAUGGUACACAAUGAGUUGUUAAUAAAGUUUGGAUGAAUGAAUGACCUCAUGAAUGAAGGGUGUCUCCUGCAGAAGUGAUAUCUGAGCCUGAACCGAGGAAGGCACUGUCAGGGAGCUUGGUCUAGAUAAGCAGAAAGAGGACCCGAGGAAGCUGCAAGAACUAUCUUCACACACGUGAGAGGUGUCACGCAGAGGAGAUUGCAGAACAAAAUUGUGCCUCUUCAAGUCUUGGGAGGCCAGUUUCUUUAACAAAGAAGAAUCUCAGAGCUGUCUAAACAUAAAAGGAGUUACUUUUAAAAAAUAUUUAUUUAUUUGGCUGCUCUGGGUCUUAGUUGCUGCACACAGGAUCUUCUGUUGCAGGACGUGAGAACUUCAGUGGCUGUAUGUGGGAUCUAUUUCCCUGACAAGGGAUCGAACCUGGGCCCUCUGCAGUGAGAGUGAGGAGUCUUAGAGGCACUGAUGGCAAACACCAUCCAAUCAUCUCAGCCAGAGGCAGCAUGAACAUCUAGCAGGAAUGGAGAAGAAAGGAACCUUUCAUUAGAUUGAGGCAGAAGGAGGAGGUUACUGACGCAUGUGGCUGAAGGGCAGGCAUGCAGAAGGGACUCAAUAUUUGUUGAACAAAUGAAUAACAGUCUUCUAAUCAUCAAAGACUCAUUCUGUAAAUAGCUAUUAAAAGUUUUUAUACAUUAGGUCUGUACUCAACUGAAGAGGUUGCAUCAGUGAAAAGGAUGACUCAGCCCUCAUCAACAGCGGGGAGUGUACUAUAUAGGUUGGAAGCCCAAGAUACAUCCACACUGCCUGGGCUCAAAACCCAGCUCUGCCGAUUCCUGUAUGCCUGUGUGCCUCAGUCUCCUCAGCUGUAAAAUGGGGAUAAAAUAGCAGCCAUGUUAAGGGAUUAUUUUGACAAUUAAAUGAAUUAAUACUUGACACAUCUUAUUGAUUCAAGUAUUAAUGAUUAUCACGGUGCAUAUCUUCCAGCAAGGGCUACAGAGAAGUUACUGUUAUGUGAAGGAUGCUCUGAGGAGUAUGAACUGAAAUAUGUUUCUGCCCCAGGUGACUGAUUAGCUGACCACCCCUAAUCCAUCUCUGCUGAUGGGGGCUGAGCAGAGUGUCACGAGGACACCUCCAAGGGAGCCUAGCCCUGACUUGGAGGUGGAUUCUUUACCAUCUGAACCACCAGGGAAGCUCAAGAAUACUGGAGUGUGUUGUCAUUCCCUUCUCCAGGGUAUCUUCCUGAUACAGGAAUCAAACUGGGGUCUCCUGCAUUGUAGGUGGAUUCUUUAUCAGCUGAGUUACCAGAGAGAGAUGUGACAGUGUAUUGAUGUUUUCAAACUGGUACUGGAAGAAGACUCUUGAGAGUCCCUUGUACAGUCCCUUGGAUCAAACCAGUCAAUCCUAAAGGAAAUCAACUUUUCGGAAAUCAAAGAAUAUUCAUGCAAGGACUGAUGCUGAAGCUCCAAUACUUUGGCCACCUGAUGUGAAGAGUCGACUCAUCAGAAAAGACCCUGAUGCUGGGAAAAACUGAAGAUGUCUCCUUUUGGGAGGAAUCAUCAAGAAGGGAAGUGCUUCCCCUUAACAUAGCAUGUUCUAUGGCCCCACACUGUUUUCGAAGAGUAGACAGAGGGCUUCCCUGGCAGUCCAGUGGUUGGGAGU
Molecule: long non-coding RNA, 1941 nt
Organism: Bos taurus (domestic cattle)
Lineage: Eukaryota; Metazoa; Chordata; Mammalia; Artiodactyla; Bovidae
Source: Ensembl